RNAcentral lists this long non-coding RNA (633 nucleotides) under Olea europaea (common olive). RNAcentral's name for it is "long non-coding RNA (OEUR_LNC002107)". The record is from RNAcentral. Lineage: Eukaryota; Viridiplantae; Streptophyta; Magnoliopsida; Lamiales; Oleaceae.
AAAACUAUAGAUUUAGUGAAGCAAAUCCCUAACAAGUUUUUAUCUCCAAGCAGAAGAUGUAGCCAUAGCUCUGUUCUUCCAUCCAAGAUAUAGAGCGCCAUUGCUCUCCGCGAUACUGUAAUUGCGGCUAUACUCAUUUAACAUGUCCCUAAUGGCGGUGCUUACCGAUUGACUCAAUGGGAUUGGAGAAAAUCCGGCCAUCAUGAGUCUCAACCUCCAUUUUCCAAAAAGCUCGUGCCUUUCCACCCUCUCGGUAUCCUCACAUGCUAUUAUGUUGACAACAUCCCUUGCCACACAGUGUUCCUCGGCAUUAAUCCGCUGCUUGUCUUCCCUUGGUCGAGCUUCAUCAAUUGACUCAAACAUUGCUGUGUAAUAAUUUAGAGUUUCACAAAAUCGGGGAAAGAACGGGGCAGUGUUAGUGUUGGAUUCUUGCUCAACAAGGGUUACAACCUUGGGCGACAAGCUCUUAACUAGUCUAAGCAAGCGGUCUCGAUGAUUCAUAGUACUCACGCUCUCGUCUGGCAUGUGGUGCAGCAUAUAAGGAAAAUUUACGGCCAAGGCUUCUCCAUGUCGUAUCUGAAGAUUUUCUAGCUGGACUUCACAUCCUGACAUACCAGCGGCAUGGAAUUCAAA